RNAcentral lists this long non-coding RNA (1049 nucleotides) under Marmota monax (woodchuck). The record is from RNAcentral. Lineage: Eukaryota; Metazoa; Chordata; Mammalia; Rodentia; Sciuridae.
GGGAAAUCUGGUCUGUUUUAUAAUACUGCUAGACUGACUAGAGCUCCUUAUCAAGGACCUAGCAUCCUCAGAUGCAAAGGUUACACUCAGGGGUGUAAAACAAAACGCAAAACAAAAAACCCACAAAAAAUUAUUUUAAAUGUGUCAAUAAUAAUAAUAAUAAUAAUAAUUAUUAUUAUUAUUAUUUUGAAGUAAUUUAGAGUCAUCCAGUCACAUUUUUAAAAGUUGUAACAAAUGUGUUGGUUAAUAAUAAGUGUCACAUGGCUAAUUCUUUUAAUAAGUAUCAUAAUUCAUGUUCUAUAGUGAGAAAAAUAAGCUUAGAGUAUGAGUAGAUAAAGCUUCAUUUUGAAUUUGAGAGAAUGUGAUCUAUGAGUCAGCCAGACAGCAAGCAUAGGCAUGGCCCAAGCAUAUUGUAAAUUGAGUUGGUUGUAUGUCUAAGUUUGGAUUGAGGGUCCUGUCAAACUCUCUCAUCUCACCUUUGGUUUCCCCAGAGAUGCAUUUGGUGGUUCUGAUGACAGUAAGAACCUCUAAUACACAUAUGGAUCAAGUAUGUGUCUUGGUCAUACUCCCUGGAAGCAGAGCCUGAGACAGGGACUCUUUUGCAAGUGACUUAUUGAGAGUAUGCUCUCAAGAGAAAUUGAUUAAGGAAGGUAUCAUGGAACAGCAGGGAUAGAGCUAAACCAGAAUGUGGUCUCUGCUAGAGACCAGUUUUGACUUGAUCCUGUGGGAAACUCUAGAGUAGGAAUUGCACCAUCCAGUUGGUCCUCUUGUCACAAGGAGGCCAGCCUUUUGUACCCCUCAUCAGUCACUCAUGGGCAGUAGGUUAGUAUUAAUACCUAGGCAAAGAGGGUAGAUCUCUGAGAGCAACCAAUACUCAAGGCAGCCUAAGAUGUGUGCACCAGCUCAAGAAAGGGAUCUGGCCAGGGCACCAAGAGUAUCUACUUCACAUGGAAACACUGUACUAUUGUUACCGCUGUUGACCGGUGACGAGUCCUUGCUUCCCCAAUGUUGAAGAAUAACACCAGAGAAGCACGCAGAGGCAAGGUCAG